RNAcentral lists this ribosomal RNA (404 nucleotides) under Fusobacteriota bacterium. RNAcentral's name for it is "Fusobacteria bacterium partial 16S ribosomal RNA". It matches the Rfam family "Bacterial small subunit ribosomal RNA", at positions 355 to 776 of the family's 1533-position model. The record is from RNAcentral. Lineage: Bacteria; Fusobacteriati; Fusobacteriota.
UGGGGAAUAUUGCACAAUGGAGGGAACUCUGAUGCAGCGACGCCGCGUGAGUGAUGAAGGAAUUCGUUUCGUAAAACUCUGUUCUAUGGGAAGAAAAGGACUGUACCAUAGGAGAAAGCUCCGGCUAAAUACGUGCCAGCAGCCGCGGUAAUACGUAUGGAGCGAGCGUUGUCCGGAAUUAUUGGGCGUAAAGGGUGCGCAGGCGGCUUUACAAGUUGGAUGUGAAAUAUUGUGGCUCAACCACAAACGUGCAUCCAAAACUGCAAAGCUUGAGUUAAGGAGAGGUAAGUGGAAUUCCUGGUGUAGCGGUGGAAUGCCUAGAUAUCAGGAGGAAUACCGGUGGCGAAGGCGACUUACUGGACUUAAACUGACGCUCAGGCACGAAAGCGUGGGGAGCAAACAGG